RNAcentral lists this ribosomal RNA (253 nucleotides) under uncultured bacterium. RNAcentral describes it as "partial 16S ribosomal RNA". It matches the Rfam family "Bacterial small subunit ribosomal RNA", at positions 524 to 776 of the family's 1533-position model. The record is from RNAcentral.
UACGUAGGUGGCAAGCGUUGUCCGGAUUUACUGGGCGUAAAGAGCGCGCAGGCGGUCGUCCAAGUCGCGUGUGAAAGCCCCCGGCUCAACUGGGGAGGGUCACGCGAUACUGGUCGACUCGAAGGCAGGAGAGGGUAGUGGAAUUCCCGGUGUAGUGGCGAAAUGCGUAGAUAUCGGGAGGAACACCAGUGGCGAAGGCGACUACCUGGCCUGUUCUUGACGCUGAGGCGCGAAAGCUAGGGGAGCAAACGGG